Molecule: ribosomal RNA, 502 nt
Filed under: uncultured bacterium
Lineage: Bacteria
Description: partial 16S ribosomal RNA
Rfam family: Bacterial small subunit ribosomal RNA
Source: RNAcentral
AUUGAACGCUGGCGGCGUGCCAAACACAUGCAAGUCGAGCGGUAACAGGUGUAGCAAUACAUGCUGACGAGCGGCGAACGGGUGAGUAAUGCUUCGGAAUCUACCUUAUGGUGGGGAAUAACUAGCCGAAAGGUUAGCUAAUACCGCAUACGUCCUACGGGAGAAAGCAGGGGAUCGCAAGACCUUGCGCCAAAAGAUGAGCCGAAGUCGGAUUAGCUAGUUGGUAGGGUAACGGCCUACCAAGGCGACGAUCCGUAGCUGGUCUGAGAGGACGACCAGCCACACUGGGACUGAGACACGGCCCAGACUCCUACGGGAGGCAGCAGUGGGGAAUAUUGGACAAUGGGGGAAACCCUGAUCCAGCGACGCCGCGUGUGUGAAGAAGGCCUGCGGGUUGUAAAGCACUUUUAGUGGGGAUGAAAUGUGCAGGGUUAAUACCUCUGCAUUUUGACCUAACCCACAGAAAAAGCACCGGCUAGCUCUGUGCCAGCCGCCGCGGUAA